Molecule: ribosomal RNA, 394 nt
Filed under: uncultured bacterium
Lineage: Bacteria
Description: partial 16S ribosomal RNA
Rfam family: Bacterial small subunit ribosomal RNA
Source: RNAcentral
AUACGUAGGGAGCGAGCGUUGUCCGGAAUUACUGGGCGUAAAGGGCGCGUAGGCGGCGCUUCAAGUCGUCUGUCAAAUGGGAGGGCUUAACCCUUUUUCGCAGACGAAACUGGAGAGCUUGAGAAGCAGAGAGGCAAACAGAAUUCCUGGUGUAGCGGUGAAAUGCGUAGAUAUCAGGAAGGAUACCAGUGGCGAAGGCGGUUUGCUGGCUGCAUACUGACGCUGAAGCGCGAAAGCCAGGGGAGCAAACGGGAUUAGAUACCCCGGUAGUCCUGGCAGUAAACGAUGUAUGCUGGGUGUGAGACUAGCGAUAGUUUCGUGCCGAAGUUAACGCGAUAAGCAUACCGCCUGAGGAGUACGGUCGCAAGAUUGAAACUCAAAUGAAUUGGCGGGG